This 207-nucleotide unclassified non-coding RNA is filed under the name Hevea brasiliensis (rubber tree). The record is from RNAcentral. Lineage: Eukaryota; Viridiplantae; Streptophyta; Magnoliopsida; Malpighiales; Euphorbiaceae.
GUAAUUUUAGUACUUCGAGAGGUUGAAGUGGGUGGAUUAUAAGGUUAAGAGAUUAAGAUUAUUUUGGAUAAUAUGGUGAAAUUUUGUUUUUUUUAAAAAUAUAAAAAUUAGUUGGGCGUGGUGGUGUACGUUUGUAGUUUUAGUUAUUUGGGAAGUUGAGGUGGGAGGAUUGUUUGAGUUUAGGAGUUUAAGAUUAAUUUGGGUAAU